GAGCCCAGCUCGGCGAGGCUCAACACCACAGGCGCUGCUGGCGGCGGCCAAAUGGCGAGGGAGGAGGCAUUCCGGGCUCUCGGCGGGGAAGAAAGCCAGCCGAGGCUGCAGGCACCUUUCUCGCCCCCCUGAGAGGAUUCCCCGGCCCGCAGCUUAGCCAGCCCCUCCUGCUUGCUCUCUCGCCGCUGUCCUGCCUGCUUUCUUCUCCCUCUCCACUCACCGGGCCCCCUCACGCUGCACCGUGUCGCCUUCGAUAACGGGAGUCGCCGCGUUCAGACGUGCGCUAAGGAGGAGGAGGAGGAGCGCUGACCCUCUGCUCAACUUUCAGUCGGGUCAACGUUCACAAUGCCCGACGCCUUCCAGAGACGGCUGCUGUUGCUGUGGGAGGGCGCUGGGCAAAUGGAGCUCGUCUGACGAGAGCGAGGCAGGUGAUUAAAUAGAGCGGGGGCGAUCCCAACCGGGCAGUGCUGCGUCCCCGUGUGACGUGAAGUCAAUGGAGAGCUAGAUUGCACCGUGCCUCGAGAGAACAUAUGGAUUACUGCAGUCUACCUACCGGCACUUCUGUGCAUGGCAGAGAGCACCACCAGGGAGAAAAUGAGCCCCCAACACUGAAUGCAAAACUGCCCUGUUUCACGAGCCAACUGUCAAAUGUUUGGAAUUCUGCCUCAAUAAAAAUAAUGAGUUAUCUAAAGUACAUGCACUUUGGGAGAAUUUGUUUCAAGUUCAUUACAUUCCAAUUUUUUAAAUACAUUUCCAAUGAAAUGCAAGUAACUAUACGGAAUUCAAAGAAGCCAUCCAUCCAUCCUGCACGCUAAAAAUAAUCCUGCAUGCACAUAUACACAAUUAAAAUGGUUAUU
Long non-coding RNA from Zootoca vivipara (common lizard), 857 nucleotides. RefSeq lists it as uncharacterized. The record is from RefSeq and is a predicted model, not a curated record. Lineage: Eukaryota; Metazoa; Chordata; Lepidosauria; Squamata; Lacertidae.